Molecule: transfer RNA, 70 nt
Filed under: Ictidomys tridecemlineatus (thirteen-lined ground squirrel)
Lineage: Eukaryota; Metazoa; Chordata; Mammalia; Rodentia; Sciuridae
Description: Spermophilus tridecemlineatus (thirteen-lined ground squirrel) tRNA
Rfam family: tRNA
About the family: Transfer RNA (tRNA) molecules are approximately 80 nucleotides in length. Their secondary structure includes four short double-helical elements and three loops (D, anti-codon, and T loops). Further hydrogen bonds mediate the characteristic L-shaped molecular structure. tRNAs have two regions of fundamental functional importance: the anti-codon, which is responsible for specific mRNA codon recognition, and the 3' end, to which the tRNAs corresponding amino acid is attached (by aminoacyl-tRNA synthetases). tRNAs cope with the degeneracy of the genetic code in two manners: having more than one tRNA (with a specific anti-codon) for a particular amino acid; and 'wobble' base-pairing, i.e. permitting non-standard base-pairing at the 3rd anti-codon position.
Source: Rfam by way of RNAcentral
AGGGAUAUAGCUCAGUGGUAGAGCACUUGCCUAGCAUGUGGUAGGCCCGGGUUCCACCCCAGUUACCUUG